UCACCCCCAGAUCGACCUUCACUCAGAGCUGCCAGACAGCUGUUCAAAAGGCGAGGGUGGAGCCCCGCCCGGCCCGGCCGCCCGAGGCUGCACGGGGGCUGCAGCAGGAGGGCACCGAGGCGCCCGGCACGCAGGUUUGGAAAAUACUCUUUUAUGCGUUCCAGGCACCUCAGUGCUGGCUGAGAGAUAAUGAUAAUGCAAAAAGCUUAAAAAAAACAACAAAAAAGGAACAUCCUUCUCAGAUCCCAGAGAGCAAAUCCUAGCAAACUUGCGCCGGGCCUUCCGUCACAUCGAAUCAAAAUGGUUUGCUUGAGCUGCCCCCGCGGCAGUUCACUCCUGGCCUCUUCCGCGGGUGUGGACGUGCUGAGAGCAUCCUGACUCCCGGAGAAGCUAGCUGCCCUGCUGCGGCUCUGUUCUUCCCGACGCCGUCCAGGGGGCAACGUCUGCCAGGAGCCCUUUGGGGAGGCUCCGGGGGAAAGCGCCCUUCGCGUGGAACAAUUUGGGUAAAAGGGCUCAAAUGAACGGGAAUGGAAAAGCGUAAGAAUGUGACAAACUGGGGCGCGCCCUUCGCAGACGGGGAGAAACACGCAGCGGCACGUCUGUCGAAUGUGGGCACCGGGGCUCUCGAGGGAGCGAGGUCGCGGGAACACAGCGCUUCUUGUUCGCAGGUUGGAUCUGAGGAUCCCGGACCUAGACUGGGAGGCCUUUUACAUGCGGCUGUGGUUUCCGUCCUGCCUUGCCAUGAAAAGGCCAUUUUUGCCGAGCUGUGUAAGUCUGUGUGUGCGGUGGGUAUGCGUGGCUCACAGAUGCCAGGCCUGAAUAGGUGGGUUUUAAUUCGCUCCAGCUGUGCGGGCCGGGCCUCUCCCCCACUGCGGACGGUGAAUAAAGUGAUGGGGCGGCAGGUGGGGGGGUGACAUCCCUUUGAAGCAGCUGCAAGCCAUUGAGUCACAUAAACUGAAACGAGAAGAGGGGGAAAACUCCAAGCCUGCGAUUCAGCCUGCUUCCACAGCUGUGUUCACACAGCUCGGAGAGACAGCGCCCAAACAAAGCCGCCCCUGGGCCCCGGCCGCUGCCAGGAGGGAGAAAGGCAGGCACUGUAAGCCCAGGUAUUUGGUGAACUGGAGGCUGGCUGGGGGGAUGUGGGCGCCAGCAGCACCGCCAGCUGGCGGGCGCUCUCAGCGGCCGCGACCGCACCACUGCGUCCUGGUGCAUCGUCAGGCCUGGAAUCCAGCUUCCCUGGACGCCCCUGUGGCCGGGGAGGGGGUCUCGUCACCGAGGGGCCCAGCCCCCAAGGCCGGGCAGGAGGGGACUCCCCCAGACAGCCUACUGGGCAGCCUGCCCGCCCAAAGGAUUGCCAAGGGCAGGUUCUCCCGUGAGCUGAGAGGCGGCCAGACAGAGAGUGGGAGAGGGCGGGGCCCGGAACGUCCAGGGAAAGUGACAACCGAGGACUCCCAGACCAGCCUGCAGCGGAGGGGCGAGCACCCGUGCACGCGGCCUGGACAAGCCCCCGCCUGCCCCUCCCCUUUCCACAUCCCAAGUCUGGUCAACUCCAGCAUCCCUACGGGACCGCGGGGAGGCCUGGUGCUGAGCGCAUUGGUCCACACUCCUGGCCACACGCUCCCCUUCUGUCCACGGAAUGUUGGCCUGCGGGCUCACUCCAGGGGUGGUGAGGCCCAGUCAUGCAGGGUGGGGCUUUGAAGGAUGUUGAGGAGUUUGCAGCGGGAGAAGCAUUCCCCAGCAUGACAUGUGAAAGUACCAGUGAUUAAGCAUCAGGCUUCUUCUAGAAAUAAUAAGACCCUCCAUGGCUGGAGAGCACAGUGUCUGAAGCGGGGUGAGAAUGAAGCAGAAACUCAGCCUGGGACCCCGGCCUCUUCCCUGGGUGCCCUCAUCUGUGUGUGCACAGCUGGGCCACAUGUGAGCCUGGUCUCUGGAGACUUCGAGAACGGCCUCGGGGCAGCAGCGUGGGGCAGUCUUCCCAGGUCUGGUGGGGCUGCUGGCGUCUGGUUGUGGGGUCGUAAGGUGGGCACAGCUCUGGCUGAGGGUCCUGGCUGCACCUUGCCCAGCUGGGCAUCCCUGGGGCAUCCUUGGUGAUUCUGUUUUCAAUCUCUUUCUGCCUAAAGUCAUUAAAGUGAUUUUGCUUCC
Long non-coding RNA from Aethalodelphis obliquidens (Pacific white-sided dolphin), 2142 nucleotides. RefSeq lists it as uncharacterized. Lineage: Eukaryota; Metazoa; Chordata; Mammalia; Artiodactyla; Delphinidae. The transcript is spliced from 2 exons. The record is from RefSeq and is a predicted model, not a curated record.